AUUGAACGCUAGCGGGAUGCCUUACCCAUUCAAGUCGAACGGAGUGGCGAACGGGUGAGUAAUGUAUCGGAACGUGCCCAGUAGCGGGGGAUAACUAAGCGAAAGCGUAGCUAAUACCGCAUACUAUUGGAGCGGCCGAUAUCGGAUUUGCUAGUUGGGGGGGUAACGGCUCACCAAGGCGACGAUCCGUAGCUGGUUUGAGCGGACGACCAGCCAACCUGGGACUGGGACACGGCCCAGACUCCUACGGUAGGCAGCAGUGGGGAAUUUUGGACGAUGGGGGAAACCCUGAGCCAGCCAGCCCGCGUGUGAGAUGAAGGCCUUCGGGUUGUAAAGCACUUUUGGCAGGAAAGCGGUACCUGCAGAAUAAGCACCGGCUAACUACGUGCCAGCAGCCGCGGUAAUAC
RNAcentral lists this ribosomal RNA (407 nucleotides) under uncultured bacterium. Its description in RNAcentral is "partial 16S ribosomal RNA". It matches the Rfam family "Bacterial small subunit ribosomal RNA", at positions 30 to 526 of the family's 1533-position model. The record is from RNAcentral.